UUUAACCAUUUUGUAAUUGUUGAUUUGCAAUCGUAGUAAAGUUUUGGGUAAAUAUUUAGGCACCUAUUUACUUUGUUGUAAAUGUGACUAGACUUCAAAUUGUAUUGUGAGCGUGCAAACUUGGUUUUAGUUUUAGUUAUAUUAGCAACGUUUUUUAUUAGUGCACGCUGAGCUCUUUCCAGACUAAUGAAUCGCGUUUUAGCCGCCCCACCCCAGACAGGUAUACAGUAAACCAAGACAGACUGUACCAGGGAUGUGUAAAUCUCUGUUAGUAUAUUCCGUUGUUUUGACGGGGUUGUUUGUGAUCUACCUGGUACAAUAUGCCUUAGUGUCCUGAAAAUCCAGUGCAGCUUACGGACCCUAUUGAUUAGCUGGUCAAUGUGAGUGUACCAAUUUAGGUGCUCGUCUAAGGUGACUCCUAGGUAUUUAAUUGUUGAUACUUUUUCAAUGAUUGGGCAGCUACAAUUUUUGAGAUUCGUACUGUCACAAGUGUGGAUUUUGAGGUUUACAUCAAAGUUGGGUUGUGUGAAAUUCGUGAUGCUGAAACACAUGUAUUUUGUUUUAUCUGUGUUAAGCGUUAACAGAUUUAGUUUUAACCAUCUAGAAAUCUGAGCUAGACCCUUUUCAGCACUUGUUUUUGCUUCCAUCCAGGUUUUACCGGAGAAGACUAUGGCUGUAUCGUCAGCGUAUGAGAAUACUUUAGCAUUAGUUAUUGCCAUGUCACAAAGAUCGUUUAUGUAGGCCAAGAACAGUGUUGGUCCUAAGACGCUACCCUGCGGAACUCCAUACGAUACAUGCUCAUCGUUGCUAACAUGCACACCCAGCUUAACUCGUUGCUUCCUGUCCGAUAGGUAACUUUUAAAUAAGGACAAAGCAGUUCCCCUAACCCCCAUCUUUUCAAGUUUUUGAAUAAGGAUAGGGAUAGAGACGGUGUCAAAAGCCUUUUUUAGGUCUAGAAAGACUGCCAAGCAUUUGUUCUUAUCAUCUACGUUAUCUACGACUACCGAGGUGAGAGCUGUUAUAGUAUCUUCCGUCGAUUUCCCCUGCCUAAAGCCAAACUGCGAUUCUGAUAGAAGAUUAUAUUUUGUAAAAAAGUUUAGUAGUCUAGUAUUAAGAAUUUUUUCAAGGAUCUUCGACACUGCAGGCAAAACAGAUAUUGGCCUAUAAUU
Molecule: long non-coding RNA, 1169 nt
Organism: Cydia splendana
Lineage: Eukaryota; Metazoa; Arthropoda; Insecta; Lepidoptera; Tortricidae
Exons: 2
Source: RefSeq, a predicted model, not a curated record